RNAcentral lists this ribosomal RNA (460 nucleotides) under uncultured bacterium. RNAcentral's name for it is "partial 16S ribosomal RNA". It matches the Rfam family "Bacterial small subunit ribosomal RNA", at positions 338 to 795 of the family's 1533-position model. The record is from RNAcentral.
CCUACGGGAGGCAGCAGUGAGGAAUAUUGGUCAAUGGCCGGAAGGCUGAACCAGCCAUGCCGCGUGAAGGUCAGUGCCCUAUGGGCGUUAAACUUCUUUUGUGCGGGAGCAAUAAUGGUCACGUGUGGCCAGACGAGAGUACCGUACGAAUAAGCAUCGGCUAACUCCGUGCCAGCAGCCGCGGUAAUACGGGGGAUGCAAGCGUUUUCCGGAUUUAUUGGGUUUAAAGGGUGCGUAGGCUGGGAGGUAAGUCAGCGGUGAAAUGCCCCCGCGCAACGGGGUGAAGUGCCAUUGAUACUGCCUGGCUGGAAUGCGGAUGCCGUGGGAGGAAUGUGUGGUGUAGCGGUGAAAUGCAUAGAUAUCACACAGAACACCGAUUGCGAAGGCAUCUCACGAAUCCGCGAUUGACGCUGAUGCACGAAAGCGUGGGUAUCAAACAGGAUUAGAUACCCGUGUAGUC